RNAcentral lists this ribosomal RNA (426 nucleotides) under uncultured Gammaproteobacteria bacterium. Its description in RNAcentral is "bacterial SSU rRNA". It matches the Rfam family "Bacterial small subunit ribosomal RNA", at positions 356 to 774 of the family's 1533-position model. The record is from RNAcentral. Lineage: Bacteria; Pseudomonadati; Pseudomonadota; Gammaproteobacteria.
GGGGAAUAUUGGACAAUGGGCGCAAGCCUGAUCCAGCCAUACCGCGUGGGUGAAGAAGGCCUUCGGGUUGUAAAGCCCUUUUGUUGGGAAAGAAAUCCAGCUGGCUAAUACCCGGUUGGGAUGACGGUACCCAAAGAAUAAGCACCGGCUAAAUUCGUGCCAGCAGCCGCGGUAAUACGAAGGGUGCAAGCGUUACUCGGAAUUACUGGGCGUAAAGCGUGCGUAGGUGGUCGUUUAAGUCCGUUGUGAAAGCCCUGGGCUCAACCUGGGAACUGCAUUCGAAACUGGCAGGCUUGAGUCUCGUAGAGGGGGGUAGAAUUCCAGGUGUAGCGGUGAAAUGCGUAGAGAUCUGGAGGAAUACCGGUGGCGAAGGCGGCCCCCUGGACGAAGACUGACGCUCAGGUGCGAAAGCGUGGGGAGCAAACA